GUAACUAUGGAAACAAACUGAGUUUGUCAAGCCAGAAAGCAACCCUCCAGCAUCCAGAUUACCCUUCGAAGACGGCAAAGAAAAAGAGAGCUCUGAAAUCACUCAACGCAUAGGAGCUGGUUCUAUAAUUUUUAGACUUUAAUUAAAUCAAUUAUUAAAGCCUUUCUUAAUGCCUUGCUGAGAUAUUCAGGCUCGGGCUGCCUCAGGAGAGAGGAAGUGGUUGAAUGCACAGAGGUGGCUAAUAAGAGGGGACACAACAUUCCAGAAUCCCACAGGAAAGAUUCUACCAUCUCCACAGCUGCCCUCGCCGCAGUCCUCCCUACUGUUGGAGAAGAUGCCCCCAAUAACUGGGGUGUCUCGAGCUAGUGGACACAUCAUGGAGCUGGGAGGUAGAACACUGGAUGAGCCACAGAAAGCACACAGGACUUUGCUGUGGAAGAGUCAAAGAUCCACGUGGGAGCAUCCCGUAGGGGACUUGCGUUUCAGAUCAGAUGAUGCUUUUCAUGUAUGUCCAGCAGCAAGAGAGUCCUUCACUGGUGAAAAAUCACGGGCCUCAGAGCAGAUUUUAGUUCAUCUUUCAUUUCAAAGCACUCCUUAGAUAUCUGCAAAUUAAAUCCCCUAAUUUGGUGAGGACGCCCAGCUUCCCAAAUAACAAGGCUUUUCCUUUGAUUCUAACCAAGUGAGCCGGCCCUGCAAAAGCCGGGGUGCGUGUUCUGGCUCCAGGCUUCUGAGCAGCCUUUCUCCCCACGCUGCAGCUUUUCAGUUAGGAAGUCAGAGAGAAGGAAAGAGAACUAUUUCCAAUUCAAUCACGAGCAUGUCUACGCACCACUGAAGACAGACCUUUGUCCUGUUGCUUUCCAAACUUUAAAUGUGAAUUUUUCUUCUUAUGAUGACUGGUGUACUCUGUUAUUCUGAAAAAAGAAAAAGCCAUAAGCACCCUGAAGUGAGGCUUUCACCUGAUACUAAUUUUCUUCUUCGUUAUAAGGCUAUUGUUUGUUUGAACAAAGAAAUAGGAGCCAUUGGUGGCUGUUUACAUUAUAGGAAUGAGGGCAGCGAUGGGGGAGGAGGAGGGGACCUUUUCAUUAAUGAGCUGGGGACAUUGAUUAUGGGGACACACUAAAGACUAAAAGGGACACCUAUAUUUCUACAUUCUUUCCAUGCAAGUAAUAUAUGAUCUUUAUCAUCUGUUAAACACCACUCACAUAUUUCAGGUGGCUGUAGGUUGAUUGCUAACAUUUAGAUUAAACAAGCAGUUAGAGUCUGAUGUUUAAAAUAAAAUAAGACAAGCCCUUGAACUCUGGGACCAGGUAUGCCCCGUUAUCUGGUCGUACCUGAACGAGCCUGUGUUGAGCACCCAAGGCCGCUGGGCACGUCUGUGGAUGUGGGGUUUCAGGCUCAACCCACUCGAGGAGCAGGGGGCUUUUGGGAGGUGGCAGCCUCCUAUACAAAACGAGCUGCCAGUAAAUAUUUAUAGAACAAAGAAAUGCAUGAAUUUCUCCUGAAUUAAACAUGAUACAUUUGUAC
Molecule: long non-coding RNA, 1524 nt
Organism: Homo sapiens (human)
Lineage: Eukaryota; Metazoa; Chordata; Mammalia; Primates; Hominidae
Product: long intergenic non-protein coding RNA 1927
Source: Ensembl